AGGCUCGUCAAUCGAAAUGAGUACAAUUUAAAUCCUUUAACGAGUACCAAUUGGAGGGCAAGUCUGGUGCCAGCAGCCGCGGUAAUUCCAGCUCCAAUAGCGAAUAUUAAAUUUGUUGCAGUUAAAAAGCUCGUAGUUGGAUCCAAGGUUAGGCAUGCCUGUCUGUUCUUAGUAGCAUGACUGUGUGUGUCUGCCUUUAUUAGUUGAAUGUUCAUUAUGGUGGUCUUCAUCGACUGCUAUGAUGUGCUCAACACGUUUACCUUGAAAAAAUCAGAGCGAUCAAGGCAGGCCUUCGUGCUUGUAUGUUGUUGCAAGGAAUAAUAGAAUAGGACUUCGGUUCUAUUUUGUUGGUUUUGAGAAUUGAAGUAAUGAACAAUAGAGACAGUCGGGGGCAUUUGUAUGGUGGCGUUAGAGGUGAAAUUCUGAGAUCGUCGCCAGACAAACUACUGCGAAAGCAUUUGCCAAGGAUGUCUUCAUUAAUCAAGAACGAAAGUCAGAGGUUCGAAGACGAUCAGAUACCGUCCUAGUUCUGACCAUAAACGAUGCCGACCUACAAUCGGGGGUGGUUUAUUAUAUUGACCCUCCCGGCUGUCCUCAGGAAACUUUAAGUUGGUUCUGGGGGGAAUAUGGUCUCAAGACUGAAACUUAAAGGAAUUGACGGAAGGGCACCACCAGGAGUGGAGCCUGCGGCUUAAUUUGACCCAACACGGGGAAUCUCACCCGGUCCGGACACUGGUAGGAUGGACAGAUUGAUAGCUCUUUCUUGAUUCAGUGGGUGGUGGUGCAUGGCCGUUCUUAGUUGGUGGAGUGAUUUGUCUGGUUAAUUCCGAUAACGAACGAGACUCUGUCCUGCUAAAUAGUCCAGUGGCAUCAAUCACUAUGUGAUUACAGCUGCUGUUACUUCUUAGAGGGAUUCGCGGAUUUAAACCGCAAGAAAUAGAGCAAUAACAGGUCUGUGAUGCCCUUAGAUGUCCGGGGCCGCACGCGCGCUACAUUGACAGUAGAAGCGAGUAUUUCUACCUGGUUCGAAAGAAUUGGGAAAUCUUCGAAUUACUGUCUCCACAGGGAUUGAGGUUUGCAAUUUUGCCUCAUGAACGAGGAAUUCCCAGUAGGCGCAAGUCAUCAGCUUGCGUCGAUUAUGUCCCUGCCCUUUGUACACACCGCCCGUCGCUACUACCGAUUGAGUGCAUUAGUGAGGACCUCGGAUUGAGAACAUAGUGGCGCAAGUUACUUUGUUUUCGAAAAGUGGUUCAAAUUUGUGCAUUUAGAGAUAGUAAAAGUCGU
This 1284-nucleotide ribosomal RNA is filed under the name metagenome. RNAcentral's name for it is "SSU rRNA". It matches the Rfam family "Eukaryotic small subunit ribosomal RNA", at positions 498 to 1792 of the family's 1831-position model. The record is from RNAcentral.